This 396-nucleotide transfer-messenger RNA is filed under the name Bacteroidales. Its description in RNAcentral is "UBA10428 sp016938235 Standard tmRNA". It matches the Rfam family "transfer-messenger RNA". Rfam says of the family: Bacterial tmRNA, also known as 10Sa RNA or SsrA, is named for its dual tRNA and mRNA-like properties. Its role is to liberate the mRNA from a stalled ribosome. To accomplish this part of the tmRNA is used as a reading frame that ends in a translation stop signal. Lineage: Bacteria; Pseudomonadati; Bacteroidota; Bacteroidia. RNAcentral also lists the same sequence under 1 other name. The record is from RNAcentral.
GGGGCUGAUUUUGGUUUUGACAGCAGGUUGAACUGGUAAGUAAGCAUGUCGGGCAUCGCACGUUAACCCGUUAAACUAUUGUGCAAAAUUUUAGUUGGCGAAUCAAACUUUGCGCUUGCUGCUUAAUCGAAGUAUAGUAGAUUAGCACCUUCCCGAUAUUAGAUAUCGGGACAAGCUGUUCCGCCAAAACCUUUCUCUGCGGUUUUGGAGUCCGGGGCACACGUGAGUUGGAGAUAGCAAUGCAAACUCCCUUAAUGCCUUGCGAAAUUAAAGGGGAUAAGCCAAAGCUCGGUUGUCUGUUGCCAGGUCCGGUCGAAAAUUAAGUUCAGAAUAAACAUGUAGAAAGCUUAUGGGUUGCUUGUUUGGACCCGGGUUCGACUCCCGGCAGCUCCACCC